UUAAGCCUACGGGACGCAGCAGUAGGGAAUCUUCCACAAUGGACGAAAGUCUGAUGGAGCAACACCGCGUGAGUGAAGAAGGGUUUCGGCUCGUAAAGCUCUGUUGGUAGUGAAGAAAGAUAGAGGUAGUAACUGGCCUUUAUUUGACGGUAAUUACUUAGAAAGUCACGGCUAACUACGUGCCAGCAGCCGCGGUAAUACGUAGGUGGCAAGCGUUGUCCGGAUUUAUUGGGCGUAAAGC
RNAcentral lists this ribosomal RNA (241 nucleotides) under uncultured bacterium. RNAcentral describes it as "partial 16S ribosomal RNA". It matches the Rfam family "Bacterial small subunit ribosomal RNA", at positions 333 to 566 of the family's 1533-position model. The record is from RNAcentral.